GACACCUGCACUGGAGGCCCUGGGUUUCCGCGUUCCUGGACGUUGGAGGCUUCAGGAGAUUCCUGCCACUCCACCUUUCUGCAGAGGUAUUGGGUAUCGAAGCCCGGCGUAGUUGCCUCUCGCUGGGUGAAGUCCUUACUGGAUCUUUAGCUCCGUGAAACAGGGGCCUCGUUCAACGUAUUCGCCGCUGUGUCCCCCAGAGCAGGCCCGGGACACACCGGGAGGGUCAGCAACCUCGGGGAAUCAUCACAAGGCUUUUGGUCUCGUGGAAUUUACGUCCUAGGCUGGGGCUACAUAGAAUAUAAAAACUUAGCUAUAGUUUUUGUGUUAGGAAAAUAGAAAUGUUUUGGAUAGUAGGUGUGUUAUGUGAGCCGAAACCGGCAGUUGGAGAAAGUCAGUCACGUGACGACUUGGGGCGGGGGCGUUCACUCCGGUCCUCAGCGAGUGUUAACCCAGAAAGUGCCUUGAGCUAGGCACUAUGCCAACGCGAGAGGCGUGGUCCCUGCCCUUUAGGGACUUUAGAGUUUCGUACCUUGCUACGUUGCUUGGUUGGGAAACCGACAGUAUCAGCAUCAAUAUCAUUUAGGAGUUGAUUAGAAAUGUAUGAACUCCAGGUCCCAUAUUGGAUCCGAAUCGGUGUUUUUACAAGAUCCUGGGAUGACUUCGUAUGCACAAUAGUUUCAGAAAGGCUGGUGGUGUAGACGUUACAAGGCAUAGGCAAAUGUACUUUCUUUUUGCCUUGUGUCUGAAUUGCUCCAGGCCUACAACGGACUUGGGCUCUCUAAUUAAGAUCUGGGCAUUAAGAACCUGGCACCAACCCAAUUUCUGUGCCUGCUGGGGACGCCCUCAACCCAAUUCAUACCACACAGUUUCCCCACAUGUGGUAGAUUUAACACUAGUGGUGCGUGAGAUGAUUUUAAGUUGGUACAUAGAUGAACACUUCCAUUUUUUCCUUUUAAAAAUUUGUAUAAAUUUAAGGGGCGCAAGUACAGUUAUGUUAUAUGGAUAUAUUGCAGUAAUGGUGAAGUCUGGGCUUUUAGUGUACCCAUCACCCGAAUAAUGUACAUGGUACCCAUUAAGUACUUUCUCAUCGUUCACCUCUCUCCCACCCCUCCACCUUUCGGAGUCUCCAUUGUCUGUCAUUCCACACUCUAUGUCCAUGUGUACACCUUAUUUAGCACUGUUCCAUUUUAAUAAUAUAUUUAUUUUGAUUAUGGCAAGCAAUGCUAGUAGUGAAUUUCCUCUUUAAGUACAUUUAUAAAAUAAUAAAAGUUGGUGUAAAAACGUUAAGUAACUUGAUGAUACGGAGAUACAGCAAAAAUCAUGAAUGUGUUAUACAGGUACCAUUGAGUGAAAUCUGGGAAGCAGUGCUCUGAUCAAGCCACCUGCCUGCUUAAAAUUCUUCAACGACAGCCACGUUUUUCAGGAUAAAAUUCAAAUUCAUUAACAUGGCAUACAAAGCUGUCUCCAGUACUUCAAAACCCCAAUUCCCAAGUUAGCUAGCUGCACCCCUGAGUCCAAUCAUUGUAACUUCAUCAUUCAACAGUUCAGGUCAGGUAGGAGGAACACAAAAGUCUCCACACUCAAGUGCACACACACACACACACACACACACACCCACACCUGCUUAUAAUGUCCUCUCAUUCUUAGGUUAUGACCCAAUAUCAGAAAGGGGCAAAAAUAAAUUCUGUUCAAAAUGUGGCAGGAUUUGAAACAUAAUUCAUGAUAUCAGCUACAUAAAUCAUAAAAUCCCAAGUUUGUCAAUUGCAAAAUGUCCUAUUAAGCAUUAAGCUACAAAUUAGGAGUGCCAUCUUGUGGACACAUCCACCACUUCCACAUCAUGUCACCUCCUAGCCAACUCCGUGGCUGUUCUCACUGUGGAGGUCUCUGCCACAACUCCAGCAUUUUAUUGCAGAAGAAAACCCAGUCCUUGAACUGGUUUCUGCGUAGAACACACUGAAAGCCCUGGGAGAGGAAACCAGCAGACAGGAAAAGAGUAGACAUGGAAGAGCAGAUGAGUUCAUUGCUGGAAAGCUCGAAUUGUUAGUUUCGUUAAUGUGGGGUCCAAUUUGACUCUAUGGAGCCUAACUACCUAGCCUGAGCGCUCGCGGUGAGUAUGGGGUGGGAGAAUGUAAAGAGAAAGCAGGCAACAGUAGGAGUAAAACACACCAGAGGAAGGUGAUGUGGGUUUAUACUUGGGAACAACAUUACCUUGCCAUCUUAGGGCCAGAGGCAUUAAUCAUGGCUUCCCCAAUGCAUAAUUUCGAUGUUGGCAUUUCCUUCCCCAUUCCUUUCAGAAUCCUACCCUGUCAGGUAUUAUCUCUGAUGAAAUAUUCCCUGGGCCAGGCACAGUGGCUCAUGCCUGUAAUCCCAGCACUAUGGGAGGCCAAGGUGGGUGGAUCACCUGAGGUCAGGAGUUCAAGACCAGCCUGGCCAACGUGGCAAAACCCUGUCUCUACUGAAAAAAAAAUACAAAAAUUAGCCGGGCAUGGUGGCAGUUGACUGAAAUCUUAGAUACUCGGGAGGCUGAGGCAGGGAGAAUUGCUUGAACCUGGGAGGCGGAAGUUGCAGUGAGCCGAGAUCACUGCCAUUGUACUCCAGCCUAGGCGACACAGCGAGACUCUGUCUCGGGGGGGAAAAAAAAGUUCAUAUCAAUUUCUAAUAUUCUAUAAUUAUUGUUUUUGGUCACAUAUACUUUUUCCAUGUAUUGAGGUGAACAGAUUGGUCUUAUUCUGUGUUAAGUUAUAUUGAUUGAUUCAAAUUAUAAAUAAACCUUUCAUUCCUGUUAUAAACCCAA
Homo sapiens (human) is the source of this 2797-nucleotide long non-coding RNA. NCBI's taxonomy places the organism in Eukaryota, Metazoa, Chordata, Mammalia, Primates, Hominidae. The record is from Ensembl.